UUAGAGGAAGUAAAAGUCGUAACAAGGUUUCCGUAGGUGAACCUGCGGAAGGAUCAUUAGCGAACCCGACGGCCGGGAGCGGGUUGUGCUGGCGCCCCCGCGGCGCACGUGCACGCCCGCCCUCGACGUCCGCUUUCCACACACGCACCUGUGCACCUUUUGAUCGCCGGGACACGGGGGGGCCGACGCGCCCCCGGGUUCCCGACGACCGAACAACACACCAGCCAUUGUCUUGUCGGAUGUGAACCGCGAAAGCGAAACAAAAAUAAUACAACUUUUAACAACGGAUCUCUUGGUUCUCGCAUCGAUGAAGAACGCAGCGAAAUGCGAUAAGUAAUGUGAAUUGCAGAAUUCAGUGAAUCAUCGAAUCUUUGAACGCACCUUGCGCUCCUUGGUAUUCCGAGGAGCAUGCCCGUUUGAGUGUCGUGAUGCCCUCGAGGCCGGUCGCCCCCGUGGCGUUCCGACUCGGACUUUGGAUGUGCUGCCGGACGGCAACGACCGGCUCAUCCCAAACGCAUUAGCCAGACCUUUUUCGGGGCCUUCUUUCGGUUCUCACUCGGCGUGAUAAGAUCGCCCGUCGAGGACGAGAGGAGCGCCCCCGGCAGGACCGGCUUCCAGACCGCGCGUCUCGCGCACUUUGACCGUCUGACCUCAAAUCGGGUAGGACCACCCGAUGAACUUAAGCAUAUCAAUA
Molecule: ribosomal RNA, 694 nt
Filed under: Botryohypochnus aff. isabellinus UC2023036
Lineage: Eukaryota; Fungi; Basidiomycota; Agaricomycetes; Cantharellales; Botryobasidiaceae
Description: eukaryotic LSU rRNA
Rfam family: 5.8S ribosomal RNA (bases 273-426)
Source: RNAcentral